CGGCGCGCGCGGCAUCACGGGAGUUGUAGUCCUGUAAGCGCGCGGAGCCCGUCGGGCGCCUAUGGAACUCGACCCGCAGGCCAAAGGGGCUCCGUUGCAAGGAAGAAGUGCGGGGUCCCGCCGCCUCCUAGACCGAGAUCGCGGUGAGCUGGCCGCGGCGCACAAUGGGCACGGCCUGGGCGGCGGCGUCCGUACUAUCGCCCUGUGCCUGCGGAUCCCGGUAACAUUGCGCGGCAGGCCCCAGGCCGGCCUCCCUCAGCUUCGCGGACUGUCUGGGCCGGGGGUCUCAACCUUGACUUCAGGGCCGGGCCGCUGGGGCAGACCCUUAGUGAUGUUCAGGUCCUCUGGGCCCCUGCCAGUCAAGGGACGCUCGUCGCGCGCCAAUUGUUAAGUCUUUCAUUGUUUCUGUAAACCUGCUGACGCCCUCCCAGCGCAUAGGGAGACUGCGCACGUGAGUCCGCCCCCGCGCGCACUGCGGAGAGGUAGAGGCACGAAUGUAGUACAAGGAGCCAGCUGGUCCACCAGAAGUCUGUGUUCUGCCUGUCCCUGCAGCACGGAGGGCUGGGCUUUAUACCUGUGCCAAGGACACCAACGGCAGCAUCAGCAAGUCCGUGUUGUCUCCCAAAUAAGUGGUGUUCUCCAACAAGCUUUUAGCAGUAAUAAAGCUGACAUUUUUAUUCUCAUAUGUCCCUUGUCUCUUUUUCAAUGAUUUAGAUUUAAGCAGGAAAGCCUGGGUUCCUUUUGUGUGUGUGUGACAGGGUCUCUGUCGCUCAGGAUGGAGUGCAGUGGCGCGAUCAAAGUUCACUGCAGCCUUGACCUCAAGCAAUCCUCCCACCUCAGCCUCCAAGUAGCUGGGAUCACAGGCUUGCAUCACCAUGCCCAGCGAAUUUUUUUUUUCUAGACACGGUCUCACUAUGUCACUCAGGCUGG
Molecule: long non-coding RNA, 930 nt
Filed under: Homo sapiens (human)
Lineage: Eukaryota; Metazoa; Chordata; Mammalia; Primates; Hominidae
Description: HSALNT0275033
Source: RNAcentral